AGGGUGUAAACGCUGCAGACUUGGUGUUGGAAGCCCUUUGGGGGCAUUCAGUGCCGGAGAGAAGUUGUUAAGUCUGCUACUUGGGGAGUGCGUCCGCAAGGAUGAAACUUAAAGGAAUUGGCGGGGGAGCACCGCAACGGGAGGAGCGUGCGGUUUAAUUGGAUUCAACACCGUAAAACUCACCAGGGAAGACUGUUACAUGAAGGCCGAGAUGAAGACUCUGCUAGAUUUUCAGAGAGGAGGUGCAUGGCGUCAGUGACU
This 261-nucleotide ribosomal RNA is filed under the name uncultured archaeon. RNAcentral's name for it is "partial 16S ribosomal RNA". It matches the Rfam family "Archaeal small subunit ribosomal RNA", at positions 748 to 1008 of the family's 1478-position model. The record is from RNAcentral.